GCGCUCGCCGCCGCCUGCUCCUAUGGGGUCUUUGCAAGGGGCUGACCCGCAGGCUGCUCAUCUUCUUCGACCUGGCCUGGCGGCUGCGCGUCAACUUCCCCUACGUCUGCAUCGUGGCUUCCAUGAUGCUCAACGUCCGUCUGCAGGUUCAUACUGAG
RNAcentral lists this long non-coding RNA (158 nucleotides) under Lynx pardinus (Iberian lynx). The record is from RNAcentral. Lineage: Eukaryota; Metazoa; Chordata; Mammalia; Carnivora; Felidae.